AUGGCGCAUCACUUAGUUGCAGUACACCACCUCAUGCAUGAGACGCCUCUACAAGCAGUGCUACUUCUAUUGCUACUACUGCUACUGCGCUUCGCCACAAUUAGUAGCAGCAAGAAGCAGGCCAAUAGAAAGCGUCUCCCUCCUUCCCCUCCAGGCCUCCCUGUGAUAGGCCACUUGCACCUGGGCCGAGAUCACGUCUCAUUAUGCAACCUCGCCAAGAAGCACGGCUCGGACGACGGCUUCAUGCUCCUCCGCCGCGGCGCCGUCCCGCACCUCAUCGUGUCGUCCCCACGCGCCGCCAGGGCGAUCAUGCGGACGCAUGACCACCUGUUCGCGUCGCGGCCAACAUCCAUGGUCGCCCACGAGCUCCUGUAUGGGCCGAUGGACGUCGUCUUCGCCCCCUACGGUGAGCACUGGCGGAUGGCGAGGAAGCUCGUCGCGGCGCACCUGCUCAGCGUCAAGAAGAUCCAAUCGUACCGCCUCGCCCGUCAGCAAGAGGUGAGCCUGGUGAUGGCCGUGAUACGAGAGUCGGCGGCUGCGAGCACGAUGAUCGACAUGGGUGAGAUGAUGAACACCUUUGUGAAUGACAUGGUGUGUCGCGCCUUGUCCGGGAAGUUCACCAUGAAAGAAGGCCGGAACAAGAUAUUCAGAGAGCUGAUCGAGGCGAACUCAGCUCUCUUUGCGAGUUUCAACCUGGAAGACUGCUUCCCAAGGUUAGCAUGGCUCACUAGAUCUAAUGUUUGUAACAAUGCCAAGAAGGUGAAUAGAAGGUGGGACGAUCUGCUCGAAAAGAUGAUACAAGACCACGAGAAACGAACAUUGUUGCCACCACAUGACAAACAAGAUGGCAAACAGGAAGAGGAGAGUGACUUCAUUGAUGUACUUCUAUCGGUUCGGCAGCAGAAAGACUAUGAUGGUAUCACCAGAGAGCAAAUCAAGGCCAUCUUAAUGGACAUGUUUGCUGCGGGCACGGACACAUCGUCCUUCGCCUUGGAGGUAGCUAUGGCUGAGAUCAUGUGCAACCCUCGGGUGAUGACUAAGCUACAAGCCGAGGUGAGAAACAGCACACCGAAGGGGCAAGACAUGGUCGAGGAAGAGAACUUAGCCAACAUGACAUAUUUGAAGGCAGUGGUGAAGGAGACGCUUAGGCUGCACCCGCCGCUACCGCUCCUCAUCCCUCACCUUUCCAUGGCAGAGAGCGAAGUCGACGUCGCUGGAUACACGGUCCCUUCUGGAGCAUGGGUCAUGGUGAACUCAUGGGCUAUCAACAGAGACCCCGAGUGGUGGCAGAAGCCGGAGGAGUUCCUGCCAGAAAGGUUCAUGGAGGGUGGUAGCGCCUCGGCGGUGGACUUCAGGGGGAACGACUUUCAGUUUUUGCCGUUCGGAGCUGGCAGGAGGAUCUGCCCUGGUAUCAACUUCGGGCUGGCGACCAUCGAGAUCAUGCUGGCAAACCUUGUGUACAGUCACGACUGGGAGCUGUCGUCCGCCACGGGCAAGAAGGGUAUUGACAUGACAGAAGUGUUUCGCUUGAGUGUCCGACGGAAGGAGAAACUGAUGCUUGUUCCCAAGAACCGCUCAAGUGUGUGA
Molecule: ribosomal RNA, 1587 nt
Filed under: Triticum aestivum (bread wheat)
Lineage: Eukaryota; Viridiplantae; Streptophyta; Magnoliopsida; Poales; Poaceae
Description: partial small subunit ribosomal RNA
Source: RNAcentral